This is an RNA transcript of Vigna angularis (adzuki bean), 1966 nucleotides long. RefSeq lists it as uncharacterized. Lineage: Eukaryota; Viridiplantae; Streptophyta; Magnoliopsida; Fabales; Fabaceae. The record is from RefSeq and is a predicted model, not a curated record. The transcript is spliced from 2 exons.
CUUUACCUUUUCAUCCUUUUUCCUAUUCAAAAUUAUUCAUUAAUUUUGUUUCCUUUAUCCCGUGAAACUUGUUUGGAUGAACUUUUCAGUAAACAUUUCUAGAAAAAGCAAAAUAAGAAGGAAAAGUGAAAACCUUAUCCAUAAGUUAAUUUAUAAUGGCUCUUUCAUAUUAACUUCUCCAAAAUCAGAGUUUUAACUUACGCAUAAGAUAGUUUGAACUACCGCAACUUAUUUCUUUUUGUUCUUUUUAUUCUUUUUAUUUUCCUCUUCUGUAAGUGGUUACAGAGAUCUACUUAAGCAGGCCCAUAGUCAUAAAUGCACGAAGAGUAGUGUAGUUGGCAUCCUCAAAUUGAUAUUUUAAAUUUAUGUGUGGUUGGUGUCUUGUGGUUGAGAGAUGCCACAUGAUGUAUCGUGACAAUGUGCAUUCUAAUUUGUGUUUGUUUCUCCCAAUAAAGCAUUCUUUAUUUGCUUGCCCUACUCAGUUCUGCUGUUUAUGGAAAAUGGAUUUUUGUGUUUUGUGAUUUGCAUCUCAAGCAGCCAUGCAGUGGUUGAUUCGAUGAUGCUUUGCUAGUGUGAACUUGGUGACACAUUAUACCCUUUGCAACCCUUCUUGCUUGUGUAAGAUAUGAUGUUUAUCACUUGUUUAUUCAUCAUUCCAUUCACUUUCAACUGUGAAUUUCUAAAUGAUUAUCUGGCUAUAUCCAUCAGAGCUUUGAACAUUUGGGAGUUUGAUUGUAGCUAAAAGAAGCAUGGAAGGCACUAAGGGUGAUGAAGGAUCCAUUACCGUAGGAACCACUGGAACAAUCAGCUUAUUGAUGACAAAGGAAUUGGAUCAGAUGUCUGGUGUUCCACAGCAGGAUUUAUCUUCAACAAGUAAACCUCGAAUUUCAGUUUCAAGUGGUAGUGCUACGCCGAAACGACCACAACCAAGAAAAUCAUUUGAAGCCAGUAGUAGUAGUAGUACUAGUAGUAAUGUUACAAACCAUAUAAGCUCAGGGAUUGGCCCCAAAACAAAACAUAAUGGCAAACAUACCCAUCAACUACCCAUGCUUGGUUCCCACACCCUUCCAUUGGAGGCAAGUCCAGUUAUGAAGAAAAAGGAUAAGAAGAAAAAAUCUAAAUUUGUGGAAGUUGUGGACAUCAAGUGUGGUUAUGCAGAUAAAGCUUGGGCCACACCUAUCACAAAUUCUCUCAAGAAGUUGGGUUUCUCAAAGCUCUCUGAGAGCAUUACCUAAAGCUGGAAUUGUAUGUCAGACUUCAGGUUCUUGUAGCUGAAAGCAGAAAUUACAUUUGGCUUACUACUGUCUAUUAUAUCGACCAUAGAACACAUGCUUGGCAAGAGCUUGCUACUUCCUCGCUUUUUCUUUCUUGUUUCUACUCUGGAUACAGUUGAGGGUCUGGAAUCAGUGCUAACUGAGGAACCCAUGUUGAUGGUUUGAGAUUUGUUGUUCUGUGACCAGCCAUUGGAAUUUAGUUCAAGCCGGCUAAAGUACUCAAUUUCUUGCAUUAGAAGGGACCCAACUGUGCCUCUGGUGCCUAUUUCUACAGGUGGAAAUUCAGCCAUUUCUUUUGUGUUGCUUGUGGCAAGGAUGGUGGGUGUCUGUAUGCUUUAUAUUGUUGGUGUCAAGGAGAAAGAAAAAGUGGGAUUGAAGAAGAGUGGUUUUGUUGUAUGUUUGAUGAACUUUUCCACAAGCUGAGGCAUUUUCUUUAGUUUCACAGAAGCUCUCCACUCUACCAUGUACUAUUUAUAUGAAGUGCAUGACAUGUAUUAUGUUUAUGGUUGUAGAGUUAGUUGGUGACAUGACAUUGUCAUUCCAUUCAUGUGCAUGCAGUAAAAAGUAUUAUCCUUGUAACUUUAUGUUUAAUCAUGUCUAGCUACAUCCCAAUAAUAAGUUCAUUAUUUGAGACUAUGGUCAGUGUAAUUUGGAGCAGAUGAAUUCAUGUGAAAGAAGAAAUUGGACCAUCA